CUCGCCUGCAGCGGCCCAUACCGAAAAAAGAGAAAUUUUUUUUAGGGCUGCACACAGCAGCCCAUUCCCUUCUCACCCCGUGGGCCUGCAGCCUACACCCGGGGGUCCUCGGUGUGACAACCCGUCCCUAAUUUUAAGAAUUUUUAAAGUUUGAAGUUUGGACAUUUUAUGAUUUUUAUUAUUAAAAUUUGGAUGGCCCAGAUUUAAGGAUUUUGAAAUGGAUGGCUUAGAUGUAAGAGAAAGAAAAUAAAAAUAAAAUUAGGAAAGAAGGUUUUAUGUGUGUGUGUACGUGAAGAAGAAGAAGAAGAAGAAGAAGAAGAUUUAGGACUGGGCAAAAACUGCCCAACCAGAAGAAGAGAGAGCCAGAGCUCCGGGAGAGAAAGGAGGGAGUCCAGCGAAUCAAGGGAAGAGAGAGGAAGGGCUGGCCAACCAGGAACCAGGAAAGGAGGAAAGGAGAGAAGGCGAGAAGCGGAGGAAGAAGAACAGAAAUGGGUCACAACCCGCGACCCGGUGGGUUUUCCACCCAUUUUCGUCGAAAUUUCUUCAUUUUUCCAGCGAAUUGGAUCAAGGUACCACUCCCAAUCAACAUCUAGGCCUUCCCUUUUUACGUUUUACCCCAAGAAUCAUUGAAUUUUGUUGUGAUUUCGCGAAGAACACCCAUACGGGUGCCGCGACCCUUUUGUUCAAAUUCUCCAAAUUUUGAAAUGUUUUCUUUCAAUUACUAACACCUUUAGCAUUCCUUUAGGACCUAGAACAAAGCCCAAGAGGUAAUUGAGGCGUUGGAACAAGUUUGAAGGUCGAAUUGGAAACACCCAAAUUCUAGGGUUCUUCACGGUUUUGGUGAAAUUGAAGCACUUCCAGGCCAAAUUGGCCUUGGUCUCAGGUAUGAAAGUUGUUCUACUCAUUGAGAUCUUCAAAUCUGCAAAUUUUGGUAAUUUUUGGAAAUAGUUGAAUUUUCCGGCGAGCCGGGGGCGGCCAACCGCCACCCGCGGCGGCCCGCGCGGCGGCGCGUGGCCAAUGGCCGCCAAUGUCAUUAUUAGCUUGUGAUUAAGGUUCUAGGUUCUGUUUGAUAAUUGAUGGACGUAAAUUGAAUAAUUGAACCUAAGUUGGUUACGAUUCGUGAUUAGGUGAAAAUGUGAAUUGACGAUCCGACCGUUGGAUCGUCAUCAAACUUUGAUACGUUGUAAUACAUAAUAUUUGAGGACUAUAGGAACUUACGGAUUGGGAAUCCAAUUUACGGAUCUUCCGGAAUUGAAGUUGUAAGUUCAAAAAAUAGAAUGUUAACCGUCACUUAGUUUUGGAAAUUGACGGAGAUCCGACCGUUGGAUGGUAAUGAAAUUUUAGGAUGUUGUCCUAGAGGUAUAUUGUGGACCUCUGGAAGUUACGGAUUUGAAAUCUGAAUUGCAGAUCAUCCGGAUCGAACUACGUAGUGACGUGUCUUAUAUAAGUUAUGUAUUCUAUCGGCAGAAUUUCUAAGGUUGGAUUUGAUUGUUGUUCUAGGCGCUAAUCGUCAUAACGCCUUGAUGUACGGUGCUAGGGAGUUGUGGGCGAACUCCAGGUGAGUGGGCAGUUUUGUUUUCCGUAUAUAUAUGUACUUGACGUUUUCCCAGAAAUUGAAAUUUAAUGAAAAAUGUGAUUUGAAAUGCCAUGCAUAGAAAUGAUAUGAAAAGUAUAUAGAAAUGUGAAUUGAAUUGCCAUGCAUGAAAUGAUAUGAAAAAUAUGAAUUGAGAUAUGAUGCAUAUGUAUGAAUUGGUACUGUGGACGCACAGAUGAGUAUCAGGUGAGUAUUAUUACUACUAUGAUGAUGUUGAGAUAUAUUGAGCUCAUAACCUGCACCUUGGUAUUAGUGCUUAUUACUAUUCACCGCAUCGCACGCUCGCCUUGGAUCCAAGUAGAUGCUAGUCGUACAGACCACUAGAGGUGGUUCCGACAUGCCAGUCGUACAGACCAUUAGAGGGGUUCCGACUGGUAGGUGAUCUUAGAUUAUGUGCACAGAUGAUUGAUGAGAGAAGCACUAGAGCGUAAUAGUAACCAUUAAGUCGUACAGACUACAUUAGGUGGUUCCGACUUAUGUGCAGUGUAGGCCGUACAGGUCACAGUAGGUGACUCCGGCAAGGGCCGUACAGGUCACAGUUGGUGACUCCGGCUAGAUGAUAUUUUGAGCUCUAGAUUCAACCGUACAUGACCAUUGUAGGGUCUUCGGUUGAUUACUUCUUGCACCUGAUAUAAUUAUUGUUGAUGCAUUCAUACUUAACUGUUGAAUUCCGACAUGGCAUGGCAUAUUUGUACUGAAAAAAUGUUGAGCUAAUGAAUUGAAGUAUUGAGAAUAUAUAUGUAUAUUUAUAUUUUACAUUUAUGGGAAAGUAUACAGGUUUUACGGAGAGGGGUUACAACGUUUUGAGAAAUGUUGAAUUUGGAAAAGAAUUGUUUUACUGACCCACUCAAUUUUGGUUUUGCGCCCCUCCAGGUUCAGGAAUCACAAAGGUGUGGUGACUACGAGGAAUUCGACGGUGUUCUGACAGAUUGGACAAAAUUAGGACUCACCUUCGGGUGUAUCAACUUAUAAAUUGUAUCUUAAAGCUUCCGUACUGUGCAAAUGGUUACGUCACUCUCACGUGACGGCCAGCAUGCCCUCAUUCGGGAAGGGGUGUGUCAGUUGGUAUCAGAGCAGGGUUGCAAUCUUGGACAUUUUGAGAAGUUCUAGUGAAUUCUGUCAGAACUACACCGCCUCGUAGCAAGCCACUUAGUUAGAGGAAUUUAGUCUCCCUAAUAUAGCGGUUUAGGGGAAACUAUUAUUAUGGUGAUUCAGUCUAUUAUAAAAAAGGACAUUUUAAGACGGGAUAUGAGUCGAAUUUGAAUCACCUUAUGAAAUGUUAAAUUUAGGGAGCGAAGUAACGGUUUAACCAUUUGGAAAAGAUGUUUCAGAUUAUGCAAGUCAAAGGAAAUUUCCUUCUGACAAGGGGUCGAGACGACUACCUGGUUUUGGUUAUGAAUUUGUAUCCUGGUGGAAACAGGAGUAUGAUUUGUUGUCACCGGAGGAACAGUCGAUUGAGAAUUGUUUAAGGACUUGUUUAAGGAAAAGUUUAUCCCUCCGGCAUUUAUCGAUGGUAGUAAGCAAUAGUUUGCAAAUGUGAAUCAAGGAAGUUGACGAUAAAUGAAUAUUAUAGAAAGUUUUCAGACUAGCCUCGUUUCCAUUCAGAUAUUACUGCCAUUUUGGUGGAGGUGUUAUGUUGUUUUAAGCUGGGUGGCAAAAAGGGAAGUGGUAUUUUGGGUGACCACUAUCCAUUGUAUUUCUUACCAAGAGUAUACAAGAUGUUGUUGAGCCUUGAGGACUCUAAGAAUAUGAUCAGCUAGAGUGAAAAGGAAUAAGAAAAGAAUGGGAAUUAAAAGAAGACGAUAAAGUUAAUGAUUCGUCAUAUCAAGAAUAUCGAAAGACUUAGAGCUUCAAAAGAAGUGAAGUUAGAGCUAAUUUUUCCAGCUGAGGUUUUAAUGCCACUGGUCAGAGUCAAAGUGAUAGAAUUGCUGGUAAUCCCAGAUUUCAGAGACAAGGUGAUUUGAAUAAAGGAAAGGUACCUUUGUGCAGCAGGUACAAAAUUAACACUUUGGGAAGUGUGAAAUUAAUGAAUGUGUUUAUGUGAACAGAGGAGACACAAAAUUGUGAAUUGUCCCUAAAAAUUAGUUAUUACCCAGCAGUCUUCCCUGAUACCACCAGUAUCAGUCCAGCAGGUGUUUGGAUCAUUAGUUUGGGUCAUAUGGACUGUGGGUACAAGGAUGUUGGAUGAGUUAAAUGUUCAGCCGUACAGGCCAUCAGAGGUGGAUCCGGCUGACACAUGAGAAAUUGGUGAGUUAUAGGCUCGGCUGUACAGACCACAAGAUGUGGAUCCGGCCGACGUAUUUACUGGGGAAUUGACGUGUAAGUCGCACAGGUCACUAUAAGUGACUCCGACUAAUGUGCUAGCAUAGAUGGUUGAGCUAGAGAAUCAGCCGUACAGGUCAUUCUAGUUGACUCCGGCUGAUAUAUUUCUGAGUAUGGACGAUGAUGCCAAAGAAAGUAAUGUUGGAACGUGAUAGAGGCGUAUAUGUGUAUUCUAAUGAAGAACAAAAUGAUAGUAUUACACCUUUGGGAAUUGUUGCCUACUUAUCGAGACAACGAUGAUUUAUCAGUAUUGCGGGCUGCAGACCGUAAUAUUAAUAACUCAUUCGUGGAUUCGUUAAGCAAGCAAACCAGUAGGUUAUUUUAUGUUAGUGUUGUACUUAUUUAGAAUGUUCAGUAUUAAUAAAGUAUGUAUUGUGUCGGUUAAAUUAUUUCUAUUAGAUUGGUUGGUUAUAAUUGUGACUAAAUGGAUUGUUACGGGAAACCAGUCACUUUCCAUCGAUCUGGAUGACCAUAGAUUACUUUUGUAAGUAUGCAAAGUGGAUUGAGUCAGGCCGUUAUUUAUGCUGUGAGAGCAAAGAGAUUGUUUUCGAAAGGCUGUCAAAAAAAAAAUUCUUAGCUCAUGUGGUGCUAAAUGAUGUUGUUUGGAGUAGUGUGAAUAAUGUCAAAAGGGUUAGACUUUUCUUGAUGUCUUCCUUGAAAGUAUACCUGGAUUGCCUUCAGGCAGAGAUAUUAGGUUCACUAUUGAAUUGUUGCCAGGUAUAAAUUUAUGAUAAAGAUUGGUUCAGGAUGAGUUAAGGGAAUAUUCAGUUGAGAGAAUUGGUUGAUAAAAGUUUUAUUUAACCUAGUACAACAUUUUUUAGGAGCACCAGUUCGUUGAUGAGAAAGAAAAUGGACUUUAAAGACUAUGCAUUGAUUAUAGAUAAUGGAAUCGGGUAACGAUUGAGAACCGUUAUCCAUUGUGGUGUACUGAUGUUUAUUUGAUCAGCUCAGAGGUGCAUGUGUACUUUCAAAGAUUGAGAGAACGUUGGUUGUAUGCUAAGUUUAGCAAAGGCUAAAGUUAGAUGAAUCAGGUGGCAUUCUGAAAUUAAUUAUAUCUACUUAAGAUAUUCAAGUGGAUUCUUAAAAGAGUAGCAACGAUUGAGAACUUGGAACAAUUGCGAACUGUGACUGAGAUUCAGAGUUUUCUUGGCUUAGCAGGUUAUUACUGAUAGUUCGUCCAAGAUUUUUCAAUCAUUGCUUUGCCCUUGGCGAGAUUGAUGAGAAAAGAGAUUACGUUUGAGUGGGAUGAAAAAUUGUGAGUAGAGCUUCAGCAAGUAAAGUAUUCCCUCACUCAUGCAUCUGUUUUCGCAUUUCCAGACGAUAAUGGUAAUUAUAAGGUUUAUAGUGAGGCUACGUUGGAUGUUCUUGAAUGCGCGUUGAUGCAGCAUGUUAGGGUGAUUACCUAUGUUUUACGGCAAUUAAAACUUCAUGAGAUGAAUUACCCUAAUUAUGAUUUGGAAUUAGUAGCUAUCAUCUUUGCUUUGAAGAUUUGGAAACUUUGUCUUUAUCGGAAGAAAAGUGCACGAUUGUUACGAAUCGAAGAGUACCCAAUAUCUGUUUAUUCAGAGGUAUCUUAAUCUCAGACAACAAAGGUGGAUUGAGUUACUUAGUGAUUAUGAUUGUACGACUAGGGUGGUCGAACUAAUGUUAUGGCCAAUGCUUAUAGUAGGAAGACCCAGUGAGAAUUAAUGCUUGGUACGAUUGCCAUGUUCAUCUUCUUGUAGAUUGAGACCUACUGGAGUAAAGUUGGGAAUGGAAGAUCGAAAAGAAAACGUACUUGCUAAUUUUCAAGUUAGGUCUAUUUGGUAGGUCGUACUCGAGACUCAAACGUUUGAUGAAGAAAUUCAAGAAAUUUAUUUAAAGCAAGGAAUAACGGAAAGAAAGAAGUCUUUUGGAUUGAUGUAGUCACUUCCCGUUCCACGGUGGAAAUGAGAAAAUAUUAAUAUAGAUUAUGUGUGCAAGCUCCCUCGUUCACGAGAUGGUUAUGAUGAAAUUUGAAGUGAUAAUUGAUUGGUUUACUAAAUCAGCACAAUGUUCUUCGAUGAAAGAGCAGUAACCUUUCCAGAAGUGCAACAGUUAUUUAUCUGUCUUAUGGAAAAGAGAUUUAGACUUACAGAUUUGUUGAACUUCUUGGAUAUGUUGGUCCUUUCAGUUUGUCCCCGAGAGCAACGCCAUAAGGUCGUGGAAAGUUGUGUCUUGUGUUUCAAAUUGUUAGAAUUGUGGACGGAUGGUAUUUAAAACCCUGAGUUAAUGGAGGAGACUACUCAGAAUAUUCAAGUAAUUAAGUCUAACCUGAAAGUGGGCCAGGAUCGGCUGAAGAGUUAGCAAACAAACAUGCCACUGACCGGAUGUGUAAUGUAAGAGAUUGGAUGUUUUUGAAAUUAUCACCUUAGAAAGGUGUGGUUCAGGUCGAAAUAGAAGACAAGUUACAUCUUAAGUACAUCAGGUCGUCUUUGACUAUUGAAGGAAUCGGUGAAAUACUUUCAAGUUGAGUACCUUCGGGAUUGGAUAAGAUGUAUAGUGUAGUUCAUGUUUUGAUGAUCCGUUACAAAGUAGCAGCUUCGUCGUGUAUGAUUCCGAUUCAGCCCUUAGAGAUUAAUCUGGAUUUGAAGUGUGAUGAGGAGCCAGUGACUAUCUUGUAUUGAAAAGACAUUGUGCUGAGAAAUAAGACUAUGAGUUUGGUGAAAGUUUAUGGAGGAAUCUUUCAGUGGAAUAAACUACUUGGAAGUCAGAGAAUCGAAUGAGAGAGAUGUGUUUCGGGUUGUUUUAUGGAUAUUGAUGGAUUGUAAAGAUUGUGUAAAUUUCGAGGACGAAAUUUCUUUAAGGUGGGUAGAUUGUGACAACCCGUCCCUAAUUUUAAAGAAUUUUUAAAGUUUGAAGUUUGGACAUUUUUAUGAUUUUUAUUAUUAAAAUUUGGAUGGCCCAGAUUUAAGGAUUUUGAAAUGGAUGGCUUAGAUGUAAGAGAAAGAAAAUAAAAAUAAAAUUAGGAAAGAAGGUUUUAUGUGUGUGUGUACGUGAAGAAGAAGAAGAAGAAGAAGAAGAAGAUUUAGGACUGGGCAAAAACUGCCCAACCAGAAGAAGAGAGAGCCAGAGCUCCGGGAGAGAAAGGAGGGAGUCCAGCGAAUCAGGAGAAGAGAGAGGAAGGGCUGGCCAACCAGGAACCAGGAAAGGAGGAAAGGAGAGAAGGCGAGAAGCGGAGGAAGAAGAACAGAAAUGGGUCACAACCCGCGACCCGGUGGGUUUUCCACCCAUUUUCGUCGAAAUUUCUUCAUUUUUUCCAGCGAAUUGGAUCAAGGUACCACUCCCAAUCAACAUCUAGGCCUUCCCUUUUUACGUUUUACCCCAAGAAUCAUUGAAUUUUGUUGUGAUUUCGCGAAGAACACCCAUACGGGUGCCGCGACCCUUUUGUUCAAAUUCUCCAAAUUUUGAAAUGUUUUCUUUCAAUUACUAACACCUUUAGCAUUCCUUUAGGACCUAGAACAAAGCCCAAGAGGUAAUUGAGGCGUUGGAACAAGUUUGAAGGUCGAAUUGGAAACACCCAAAUUCUAGGGUUCUUCACGGUUUUGGUGAAAUUGAAGCACUUCCAGGCCAAAUUGGCCUUGGUCUCAGGUAUGAAAGUUGUUCUACUCAUUGAGAUCUUCAAAUCUGCAAAUUUUGGUAAUUUUUGGAAAUAGUUGAAUUUUCCGGCGAGCCGGGGGCGGCCAACCGCCACCCGCGGCGGCCCGCGCGGCGGCGCGUGGCCAAUGGCCGCCAAUGUCAUUAUUAGCUUGUGAUUAAGGUUCUAGGUUCUGUUUUGAUAAUUGAUGGACGUAAAUUGAAUAAUUGAACCUAAGUUGGUUACGAUUCGUGAUUAGGUGAAAAUGUGAAUUGACGAUCCGACCGUUGGAUCGUCAUCAAACUUUGAUACGUUGUAAUACAUAAUAUUUGAG
RNAcentral lists this long non-coding RNA (7845 nucleotides) under Malus domestica (apple). RNAcentral describes it as "long non-coding RNA (MDOM_LNC008818)". The record is from RNAcentral. Lineage: Eukaryota; Viridiplantae; Streptophyta; Magnoliopsida; Rosales; Rosaceae.